Magnolia sinica is the source of this 107-nucleotide small nucleolar RNA. NCBI's taxonomy places the organism in Eukaryota, Viridiplantae, Streptophyta, Magnoliopsida, Magnoliales, Magnoliaceae. The record is from RefSeq and is a predicted model, not a curated record.
AAAUCGUGUUAUGGGCAUAAACUGAUAAGAUCAUUGAACUGCUCCCAACAUUGGAAGAAUGUUUCAUCUUUCUUUUGGGUGAAGUUCAAGAUUGACUUUUUGAGGGU